Molecule: transfer RNA, 76 nt
Filed under: Leadbetterella byssophila DSM 17132
Lineage: Bacteria; Pseudomonadati; Bacteroidota; Cytophagia; Cytophagales; Leadbetterellaceae
Also listed under: 3 other names
Description: tRNA-Met
Rfam family: tRNA
About the family: Transfer RNA (tRNA) molecules are approximately 80 nucleotides in length. Their secondary structure includes four short double-helical elements and three loops (D, anti-codon, and T loops).
Source: RNAcentral
CGCGGGAUGGAGCAGUUGGCAGCUCGUCGGGCUCAUAACCCGAAGGUCACAGGUUCGAGUCCUGUUCCCGCUACUA